Molecule: ribosomal RNA, 429 nt
Filed under: Gemmatimonadota bacterium
Lineage: Bacteria; Pseudomonadati; Gemmatimonadota
Description: Gemmatimonadetes bacterium partial 16S ribosomal RNA
Rfam family: Bacterial small subunit ribosomal RNA
Source: RNAcentral
UAGGGAAUCUUCGGCAAUGGACGAAAGUCUGACCGAGCAACGCCGCGUGAGUGAAGAAGGUUUUCGGAUCGUAAAACUCUGUUGUUAGAGAAGAACAAGGACGUUAGUAACUGAACGUCCCCUGACGGUAUCUAACCAGAAAGCCACGGCUAACUACGUGCCAGCAGCCGCGGUAAUACGUAGGUGGCAAGCGUUGUCCGGAUUCAUUGGGCGUAACGCGAGCGCAGGCGGUUUCUUAAGUCUGAUGUGAAAGCCCCCGGCUCAACCGGGGAGGGACAGUGGAAACUGGGAGAGUUGGGUGCAGAAGAGGAGAGUGGAAUUCCAUGUGUAGCGGUGAAAUGCGUAGAUAUAUGGAGGAACACCAGUGGCGAAGGCGGCUCUCUGGUCAGUAACUGACGCUGAGGCUCGAAAGCGUGGGGAGCAAACAGG